GCAUGGCUCAGUGAUAGACCAUCUCUUUUGCCUACAGAAGGUCCCAGGUUCAAUCCCUGGCAUCUCUCG
This 69-nucleotide transfer RNA is filed under the name Sphaerodactylus townsendi. RNAcentral describes it as "tRNA-Ala". The record is from RNAcentral. Lineage: Eukaryota; Metazoa; Chordata; Lepidosauria; Squamata; Sphaerodactylidae.